UGACCUACAACUAACUAUUUGAACUGGC
RNAcentral lists this non-coding RNA (28 nucleotides) under Mus musculus (house mouse). Lineage: Eukaryota; Metazoa; Chordata; Mammalia; Rodentia; Muridae. The record is from RNAcentral.